RNAcentral lists this long non-coding RNA (418 nucleotides) under Homo sapiens (human). RNAcentral describes it as "HSALNT0161861". Lineage: Eukaryota; Metazoa; Chordata; Mammalia; Primates; Hominidae. The record is from RNAcentral.
CGAACUGGACGCGUAUUUCUCCUGCAGCGAAGGUCACGCUGCUGACAGCCUCUGCUUUGCACUUUGUCCCUGGGAAGGAGGCCUGUGGCCAGUCCUACCUCCUGGAAAGCCGGGGUGCGUCAGAGGACCUGAUGCGGAGCGGGGACCCCAUCCUCUCCGUGUCUCCCCAAGAGCCGGCGGCAGAGGCUGCCUGCGCUCCUUAAGCUAGGUCAGUUCUCUGGCCCGCAGUUCUCGUUCUCCUAACAUCCUCCGCAGAAAACGACCUUCAUUUUUUCCUCUUGCGCCAGUCUUGAAGCGGGGCGUCCUUUGGGCUCACGUUGCGGCGCCCAGCGGCCUCAAGCGUCAGCUGCCUCCAGGGCCUCAGGAGCAGUGGCUAGGGCCUGCCCUCCAGCGCCCGGGGUCCUCGGCCCAGCCCUGC